CUACGUGCCAGCAGCCGCGGUAAUACGUAGGGUGCGAGCGUUAAUCGGAAUUACUGGGCGUAAAGCGGGCGCAGACGGUUACUUAAGCAGGAUGUGAAAUCCCCGGGCUCAACCUGGGAACUGCGUUCUGAACUGGGACUAGAGUGUGUCAGAGGGAGGUAGAAUUCCACGUGUAGCAGUGAAAUGCGUAGAGAUGUGGAGGAAUACCGAUGGCGAAGGCAGCCUCCUGGGAUAACACUGACGUUCAUGCCCGAAAGCGUGGGUAGCAAACAGGAUUAGAUACCCUGGUAGUCCACGCCCUAAACGAUGUCGAUUAGCUGUUGGGCAGCUUGACUGCUUAGUAGCGAAGCUAACGCGUGAAAUCGACCGCCUGGGGAGUACGGUCGCAAGAUUAAAACUCAAAGGAAUUGACGGGGACCCGCACAAGCGGUGGAUGAUGUGGAUUAAUUCGAUGCAACGCGAAGAACCUUACCUGGUCUUGACAU
This 485-nucleotide ribosomal RNA is filed under the name uncultured bacterium. RNAcentral describes it as "bacterial SSU rRNA". It matches the Rfam family "Bacterial small subunit ribosomal RNA", at positions 501 to 987 of the family's 1533-position model. The record is from RNAcentral.